GGCAUCAGUUUUCAAGAUGGAGGUCACCGUCGCUGUCGCCCCGGUUUUUCUUUCAACUGACGCUUCAAUUGAAACAUGUGUGGGGUGUCUG
Molecule: non-coding RNA, 91 nt
Organism: Drosophila pseudoobscura pseudoobscura
Lineage: Eukaryota; Metazoa; Arthropoda; Insecta; Diptera; Drosophilidae
Source: Rfam